This is a long non-coding RNA of Pleuronectes platessa (European plaice), 623 nucleotides long. RefSeq lists it as uncharacterized. The record is from RefSeq and is a predicted model, not a curated record. Lineage: Eukaryota; Metazoa; Chordata; Actinopteri; Pleuronectiformes; Pleuronectidae. The transcript is spliced from 3 exons.
UGUAACCCGGAAGUUAAACUUCACAACAACAAAAUUGUCGGGAAAUCUGCUCCGUGAAACCAUCUCAGGCAGCCAAUGGACUUUUUAUUUCAAUUGAGUAAAUAGUGCGUUUGUCUUGAGACUUGUGUAGAACCACAGUGUCUCUCAACGUGGGUUUAACAUGGACGAUUAUGACGAACUGUUCGAAAUCCAAGAUGAGUUCGAGGACCAGUUCGCAGACGAGCUGGAGGUUCUGGCUCAGAUGGAGGGGGAGUCCCCAACACACUUAAACUUGAACUUAAGGAGGUGGACUUUGAGCUGGAGUCUCUGAUGGAGAGGAAGGAGGAGGAGCGGGAGGAGCUGAUGGACUGGUGGAAGAUGAUGUCAGAGACACUGAACUUCUGAAGCGCUCGUCUGCUUCGCGAUUGGACCGUUCACACGUCGAGAUAUCUUGCACAGACACACAGGAGGAGAAUUUGCAGGCAGUGUGACAGCAAUGGGAUUGGUGUGGAUUUCUGUGGUGUUUCGUUCAUUAUCGUACACGUGAUUGAAAACCAUAGCACCCAUCUAUACACUGUGUGCACAAUUAUUAUGCAAGUUGUAUUUUGGAGGAUUGGUUUUAUUAUUGAACAACUACAGUGCUC